Molecule: ribosomal RNA, 510 nt
Filed under: uncultured bacterium
Lineage: Bacteria
Description: partial 16S ribosomal RNA
Rfam family: Bacterial small subunit ribosomal RNA
Source: RNAcentral
GACGAACGCUGGCGGCGUGCUUAACACAUGCAAGUCGAACGAAGAGCGAUGGAAGCUUGCUUCUAUCAAUCUUAGUGGCGAACGGGUGAGUAACGCGUAAUCAACCUGCCCUUCAGAGGGGGACAACAGUUGGAAACGACUGCUAAUACCGCAUACGAUCUAAUCUCGGCAUCGAGGAUAGAUGAAAGGUGGCCUCUACAUGUAAGCUAUCACUGAAGGAGGGGAUUGCGGCUGAUUAGCUAGUUGGAGGGGUAACGGCCCACCAAGGCGAUGAUCAGUAGCCGGUCUGAGAGGAUGAACGGCCACAUUGGGACUGAGACACGGCCCAGACUCCUACGGGAGGCAGCAGUGGGGAAUCUUCCGCAAUGGACGAAAGUCUGACGGAGCAACGCCGCGUGAGUGAUGACGGCCUUCGGGUUGUAAAGCUCUGUUAAUCGGGACGAAAGGCCUUCUUGCGAAUAGUGAGAAGGAUUGACGGUACCGGAAUAGAAAGCCACGGCUAACUACGUG